AUUGAACGCUGGCGGAAUGCUUUACACAUGCAAGUCGAACGGAAGCACGGACUUCGGUCUGGUGGCGAGUGGCGAACGGGUGAGUAAUGUAUCGGAACGUGCCCAGUCGUGGGGGAUAACGUAGUGAAAAUUACGCUAAUACCGCAUACGAUCUAUGGAUGAAAGCGGGGGAUCGCAAGACCUCGCGCGAUUGGAGCGGCCGAUAUCAGAUUAGGUAGUUGGUGGGGUAAAGGCCCACCAAGCCAACGAUCUGUAGCUGGUCUGAGAGGACGACCAGCCACACUGGAACUGAGACACGGUCCAGACUCCUACGGGAGGCAGCAGUGGGGAAUUUUGGACAAUGGGCGAAAGCCUGAUCCAGCCAUUCCGCGUGCAGGAUGAAGGCCCUCGGGUUGUAAACUGCUUUUGUACAGAACGAAAAGGUUUCUACUAAUACUAGGAGCUCAUGACGGUACUGUAAGAAUAAGUACCGGCUAACUACGUGCCAGCAGCCGCAGUAA
Molecule: ribosomal RNA, 500 nt
Filed under: uncultured bacterium
Lineage: Bacteria
Description: partial 16S ribosomal RNA
Rfam family: Bacterial small subunit ribosomal RNA
Source: RNAcentral